Molecule: ribosomal RNA, 492 nt
Filed under: uncultured Allobaculum sp.
Lineage: Bacteria; Bacillati; Bacillota; Erysipelotrichia; Erysipelotrichales; Erysipelotrichaceae
Description: partial 16S ribosomal RNA
Source: RNAcentral
CACGUAGUUAGCCGUGACUUCCUCGCCGGGUACCAUCACUCAGAAAGCUUUCCACUCUUUCUGCCUUUUGUCCCCGGCAACAGAGCUUUACGAUCCGAAGACCUUCCUCGCUCACGCGGCAUUGCUCGUUCAGGGUUCCCCCCAUUGACGAAAAUUCCCUACUGCUGCCUCCCGCAGGAGUCUGGGCCGUGUCCCAGUCCCAGUGUGGCCGUCCGCCCUCUCAGGCCGGCUAUGCAUCGUCGACUUGGUGAGCCGUUACCUCUCCAACCAGCUAAUGCACCGCAGGUCCAUCUGCAUGCGGGACUCUUGUCCCCUUUUCCAAAAAGAGAUGCCUCCUCUUUGCUCAUCCGGUAUCAGCUUCCGUUUCCAGAAGUUCUCCCGCUCAUGCAGGCAGGUUCCCUAGUGUUACUCACCCGUUCGCCACUCAUAUCCGAAGAUAUCCGUUCGACUUGCAUGUAUUAGGCAUGCCGCAGCGUUCAUCCUGAGCCAGGA